This 253-nucleotide ribosomal RNA is filed under the name uncultured bacterium. RNAcentral's name for it is "partial 16S ribosomal RNA". It matches the Rfam family "Bacterial small subunit ribosomal RNA", at positions 524 to 776 of the family's 1533-position model. The record is from RNAcentral.
UACGUAGGGGGCGAGCGUUAUCCGGAUUUAUUGGGCGUAAAGGGUGCGUAGGCGGCCUUACAAGUCUGAGUUGAAAGCCCACGGCUUAACCGUGGAGGGUACUCGGAAACUGUAAGGCUUGAAUCCAGAAGAGGCAAGUAGAAUUCUAUGUGGAGCGGUGGAAUGCGUAGAUAUAUGGAGGAAUACCAGUGGCGAAGGCGGCUUGCUGGUCUGGGAUUGACGCUGAGGCACGAAAGCGUGGGGUGCAAACAGG